Molecule: ribosomal RNA, 544 nt
Filed under: uncultured beta proteobacterium
Lineage: Bacteria; Pseudomonadati; Pseudomonadota; Betaproteobacteria
Description: partial 16S ribosomal RNA
Source: RNAcentral
UCCAGGCGGGCACUUCACGCGUUAGCUUCGUUACUGAGUAAGCAAAUACCCAACAACCAGUUGACAUCGUUUAGGGCGUGGACUACCAGGGUAUCUAAUCCGUGUUUGCUCCCCACGCUUUCGUGCAUGAGCGUCAGUGCAGGCCCAGGGGAUUGCCUUCGCCAUCGGUGUUCCUCCGCAUAUCUACGCAUUUCACUGCUACACGCGGAAUUCCAUCCCCCUCUGCCGCACUCCAGCCUUGCAGUCACCAAUGCAGUUCCCAGGUUGAGCCCGGGGAUUUCACAUCGGUCUUACAAAACCGCCUGCGCACGCUUUACGCCCAGUAAUUCCGAUUAACGCUCGCACCCUACGUAUUACCGCGGCUGCUGGCACGUAGUUAGCCGGUGCUUAUUCUUACAGUACCGUCAUGAGCCCCAGGUAUUAACCAGAGCCUUUUCGUUCUGUACAAAAGCAGUUUACAACCCGAAGGCCUUCAUCCUGCACGCGGCAUUGCUGGAUCAGACUUGCGUCCAUUGUCCAAAAUUCCCCACUGCUGCCUCCCGUA